CAUAGCAGAAAUAGCUGAGACAGCAUUCGGAUACAUUCUCUGAAAGCGUAACAUUAUAGUGCCCGAAAAUUAAGUGUUUCAAAUAUUAAACUAAAUUCCUCAUUUCUAUCGCGAAACGUUUAAUAUCAUAAUUCGUUGCUUUUCUUUUAAAAAUAAAAGACAAAGUAGUGAAAGGUGUUGCGGGGCUAUUAUGUCAUCAUGCAUGACGCAAGCUGUGAUGCGCUAUAUGCUUGACGCGGUUUUGCCGUUUGCUACUUCUCUUCUCAUUGAUGACGAUAGUUGCAGACAAGUUGAAAUCGACACGUGAGGAUGAUCGUUGAAAAUAAAAGCGCAAUACAAGACCCGACUGACAUGCUUCUACAAGAUAUCCAACGAUACUACACGCCAAUUCUCGUACAUUUCGGUCUGCUGGGCAACUGUCUAUCCGUAUGCGUGUUCUUCGGUACGAAGCUGCGUUAUUCCUCGUCCAGCAUUUACUUGGGCGCGCUGGCAAUAAGCGACACUAUCUUCCUGGUGACAAUCUUCGUAGUCUGGCUCAGUAUGGUACAUGUGGAUCUGUUCAAUCGAUGGGGCUUCUGCCAGUUCUUCAUUUAUCUCAGCACUCUCUGCAGUUUCCUCAGCGUGUGGCUCGUAGUGACCUUCACUGUCGAAAGAUACGUGGCGGUCAAGUGGCCGCUUCGUCGUCAGUCUUUAUGUACGGUCAGCCGAGCAAAAGCUGUAGUGAUUGGGCUGACAGCAUUAGCGAUUCCAAUCUGUAGUCCGGUACUCCUAUUCUCUACAUCCAAUGGGAACGCAACUGGCUGUGAUUUGGAUAAGGAGUGGGAAUCCUGGGCCAAAAUCUACAAUACCUUCGACACUGUCAUGACGUUCGCCUUACCCCUGACCAUUAUAGUGAUCUUUAAUACCCUGAUAGCGCGCAACAUUUACAAACUCGAUCAUAUCCGACGAACUUUGACUACAGAAUCCAACGCCUCUUCCAACGAUAACGCUCAGACUCUUCGGGAUAGGAUGCCACAGACUAAAGUUACGAAAAUGCUUCUGCUCGUAUCGAGCGCAUUCUUCUGUCUCAAUAUGCCAUCGUUCGUCCUUAGGGUGAUUGCUUUUCUUUACGAACAUCCCGAAUCACCAAUAUGGCUCAUUGCGGCGCAGCAAAUGUGCAAUCUAUUAUUCAACACGAGUUUCGGAAUAAACUUUGUUUUUUACUGCGCGAGUGGGCAGAAUUUUCGCAGAGCGAUGGUCCGCAUGUUUAUGAAGCGAUCAAAUUCUAGAAGAAAUACUAGAAGCAAAACUCUCAUGCAGAUGGCGAGUCAUGGAAAGCAGUAUGUUUCAGAAUUCACGCAUAGAUGCAAUUCGACGAAACAAUCGCACUUGAACAAUACGCAACAAAAAAAUUCUCACGAAACGCAACAGUUCUCAAUAAAUGAAGAAUUAUGAUACAAUGAAAAAUUCAUUUCAUCACAAUUAACUAAAUAAACCAUGUGUUAAAAGUGGACAAUUAAAAACUGAUAUUAUAUAGUGCACGGAUAUAUGUACAGUAUUAUAGUGCACAAGAGUUACUUACCAGCCUCAAGUUCUGUAGUUGAAAGCGGACCUACGUUUCCGAAAAAGCGUUGAUCCAACAGUUGAAGAAGUUGAAGCGCCGCAUCGUGAACCGGAGCGCGAGGACAUCCUGUAUUCAUUAAAGUGACGUUGAUGACACUGGUAUAGUGAUCGCAAGGAUAUUCUCUGAAAAAAUUAUAAACAUUCAAUUUUUACGAGUCUUAUUGCUGUAUUUCGGAAGACGAUUAUAUCAUCGAUUAUAUCUUCAUUAAUACAGAAAUAUGCGUCCCAUAAUCUUUACUCGCUAUAUCGCUGAAAAUUGUUGCCAAAGCGAGAAAACAACCGUCAGCUACUUGCGGAGCACCAGUAUAACAUCGAUCUACCACCCAAUCCAAGAGCGUACCAAUAUCAGGAUUUCCUUCGAGCAACAAAACGACGGUUUCACGUGCGAGUGCAUAAAUCUGCAACAGAGAUAAAAGCUUAUACGAAAGAGAGACAAUUAAUUUACCUUUUCAUCUUUACUGGCCAAUAAUGAAUCCAACCAUUGAUAUAAAAUGGCGCCUUCUUCUGAAAGCGACUGCGGAUUGAAGCACGAUCCACAACAGAGUAAUCCGCUCAUAGCUUGCAAGGAUGAGAGUUGCAAUUCCGUGCAAGAUUUUUCCUCCUCUUGCAUAGACGACGUGCUUGUAAGCGGUUUGCCGUAAACGCCGGCCCAACUGGCAAAGAGCAUGAACAGGUUUCUUCUUAAAUCCCUCUUCAACAAGGUGUAACAAAUCUCCACUAGAGAAACAAAAAAAUUAACAAUAAAUUACUCAGACAUUAUAUACAUAUAU
Nylanderia fulva is the source of this 2372-nucleotide non-coding RNA. The record is from RefSeq and is a predicted model, not a curated record. Lineage: Eukaryota; Metazoa; Arthropoda; Insecta; Hymenoptera; Formicidae.